GACGAACGCUGGCGGCGUGCCUAAUACAUGCAAGUCGAACGCUGAGGAGAGGAGCUUGCUCUUCUUGGGUGAGUUGCGAACAGGUGAGUAACGCGUAGGUAACCUGCCUUGUAGCGGGGGAUAACUAUUGGAAACGAUAGCUAAUACCGCAUAACAAUGUGUGACACAUGUCAGUUAUGUGAAAGUCGCAAUUGCUGCACUACAUGAUGGACUUGCGUCGUAUUAGGAAGGAGGUGAGGUAACGGAGCUCCUAGGCGACGAUACAUCGCCGCCCUGCGAGGGCGGUCGGCCGCACUGGGAGUGAGACCGGGCACAGACUGCCUCGGGAAGGAGCAAGAGGGAAACUGCGGGAAGCGGGGCAAAACUGAGCGCGCAAGGCGGAGGGAGUGAAGAAGGGUUUCGGGUCGUAAAGCUCUGUUGUAAGUCAAGAAAGAGUGUGAGAGUGGAAAGUUCACACUGUGACGGUAGCUUACCAGAAAGCGACGGCUAACUACGUG
RNAcentral lists this ribosomal RNA (497 nucleotides) under uncultured bacterium. Its description in RNAcentral is "partial 16S ribosomal RNA". It matches the Rfam family "Bacterial small subunit ribosomal RNA", at positions 28 to 507 of the family's 1533-position model. The record is from RNAcentral.